RNAcentral lists this ribosomal RNA (340 nucleotides) under Bacillus sp. (in: firmicutes). RNAcentral describes it as "bacterial SSU rRNA". It matches the Rfam family "Bacterial small subunit ribosomal RNA", at positions 395 to 727 of the family's 1533-position model. Lineage: Bacteria; Bacillati; Bacillota; Bacilli; Caryophanales; Bacillaceae. The record is from RNAcentral.
CGCCGCGUGAGUGAUGAAGGUUUUCGGAUCGUAAAACUCUGUUGUUAGGGAAGAACAAGUAUCGGAGUAACUGCCGGUACCUUGACGGUACCUAACCAGAAAGCCACGGCUAACUACGUGCCAGCAGCCGCGGUAAUACGUAGGUGGCAAGCGUUGUCCGGAAUUAUUGGGCGUAAAGCGCGCGCAGGUGGUUCCUUAAGUCUGAUGUGAAAGCCCACGGCUCAACCGUGGAGGGUCAUUGGAAACUGGGGAACUUGAGUGCAGAAGAGGAAAGUGGAAUUCCAAGUGUAGCGGUGAAAUGCGUAGAGAUUUGGAGGAACACCAGUGGCGAAGGCGACUU